Non-coding RNA from Arachis ipaensis, 290 nucleotides. Lineage: Eukaryota; Viridiplantae; Streptophyta; Magnoliopsida; Fabales; Fabaceae. The record is from RefSeq and is a predicted model, not a curated record.
AUGAAAAUUGGUCACUAGUUCAAUUCCUCAUGUCAUCUUCUUACAGUGGACAUGGCACCUCCAGCUUGCAACAAGUAAAAAAGUUCACAAAUGAUCCAGAAACAAUUAUGUAUGAUCUAAGGGAAGGAAGUUUAAGAGGGCUAGAGGAAGGAGGAACAGCAAAGGAAAUAGAAUUUAAGUUGUAUUGUUUCUGUAUUUUUUUUUCAAUUUUUAGUUUUGGAAUUCGAACUCGAGAUUUAUUGUGUAUUUGAGUAUUAGUUUUUUAAUGUAUAAAACAAUUAUCGCAAAAA